This 257-nucleotide ribosomal RNA is filed under the name uncultured bacterium. Its description in RNAcentral is "partial small subunit ribosomal RNA". It matches the Rfam family "Bacterial small subunit ribosomal RNA", at positions 26 to 285 of the family's 1533-position model. The record is from RNAcentral.
AGGACGAACGCUGGCGGCGUGCCUAACACAUGCAAGUCGAGCGGUAAGGCCUCUUCGGGGGUACACGAGCGGCGAACGGGUGAGUAACACGUGGGUGACCUGCCCUCAGCUCUGGGAUAAGCCUGGGAAACUGGGUCUAAUACUGGAUAUGACUGCGCAUCGCAUGGUGUGUGGUGGAAAGUUUUUUCGGCUGGGGAUGGGCCCGCGGCCUAUCAGCUUGUUGGUGGGGUGAUGGCCUACCAAGGCGACGACGGGUA